UAUAUUGAAGCGCAUAAUUGGUUGAAGAUCACGAGACGUUUCGAAUAAAAGAAGAUCCCGUUUAUUUAUUAUCCUUUAUUUAGAAUCUUAGUCUAUUAUUUUUUAUUUUUUAUUUAGAAUUUAGAUAUUUGUUAUAAUUUAUUGUUUGUUGGACCCAUCAGAUCAGUUAACUAAAAAACGGAUCAUUCAAUUAACUUGAUUGAAUCCAUUAUGGAUUAAGUAAAUCUAAAUAAAUUAUAGUUUUGUUUUCCACUUAUUUAUUCUCUCAUCUAUACUUUUUUGUAUCUAUUUUAUUUGGAUUAGAUUUGUAGUGCCAAUCUAACACAAGUCUUUUUUUUAAAAUAUUUUUUAUUGUUGUCGAUUGAAAUUUCUUUUGUUUUUUUUUUCACUAUUCAAUAUUUAU
This 403-nucleotide long non-coding RNA is filed under the name Nicotiana benthamiana. RNAcentral's name for it is "long non-coding RNA (NBEN_LNC033516)". Lineage: Eukaryota; Viridiplantae; Streptophyta; Magnoliopsida; Solanales; Solanaceae. The record is from RNAcentral.